Molecule: ribosomal RNA, 871 nt
Filed under: Candidatus Nitrosopumilus sp.
Lineage: Archaea; Thermoproteati; Nitrososphaerota; Nitrososphaeria; Nitrosopumilales; Nitrosopumilaceae
Description: bacterial SSU rRNA
Rfam family: Archaeal small subunit ribosomal RNA
Source: RNAcentral
CAGAAUCCGGUUGAUCCUGCCGGACCUGACUGCUAUCGGAUUGAUACUAAGCCAUGCGAGUCAUUGUAGUAAUACAAGGCAGACGGCUCAGUAACGCGUAGUCAACCUAACCUAUGGACGGGAAUAACCUCGGGAAACUGAGUAUAAUGCCCGAUAGAACAUUAUGCCUGGAAUGGUUUAUGUUCCAAAUGAUUUAUCGCCGUAGGAUGGGACUGCGGCCUAUCAGUUUGUUGGUGAGGUAAUGGCCCACCAAGACUAUUACAGGUACGGGCUCUGAGAGGAGUAGCCCGGAGAUGGGUACUGAGACACGGACCCAGGCCCUAUGGGGCGCAGCAGGCGAGAAAACUUUGCAAUGUGCGAAAGCACGACAAGGUUAAUCCGAGUGGUUUGUGCUAAACGAACCUUUUGUUAGUCCUAGAAACACUAACGAAUAAGGGGUGGGCAAGUUCUGGUGUCAGCCGCCGCGGUAAAACCAGCACCUCAAGUGGUCAGGAUGAUUAUUGGGCCUAAAGCAUCCGUAGCCGGUCCUGUAAGUUUUCGGUUAAAUCUGUACGCUUAACGUACAGGCUGCCGGGAAUACUGCAGAGCUAGGGAGUGGGAGAGGUAGACGGUACUCGGUAGGAAGGGGUAAAAUCCUUUGAUCUAUCGAUGACCACCUGUGGCGAAGGCGGUCUACCAGAACACGUUCGACGGUGAGGGAUGAAAGCUGGGGGAGCAAACCGGAUUAGAUACCCGGGUAGUCCCAGCCGUAAACUAUGCAAACUCAGUGAUGCAUUGACUUGUGGUCAAUGCAGUGCUGCAGGGAAGCCGUUAAGUUUGCCGCCUGGGAAGUACGUACGCAAGUAUGAAACUUAAAGGAAUUGGCGGGGGA